This 73-nucleotide transfer RNA is filed under the name Eubacterium sp. CAG:180. It matches the Rfam family "tRNA". From Rfam's summary of the family: Transfer RNA (tRNA) molecules are approximately 80 nucleotides in length. Their secondary structure includes four short double-helical elements and three loops (D, anti-codon, and T loops). Further hydrogen bonds mediate the characteristic L-shaped molecular structure. tRNAs have two regions of fundamental functional importance: the anti-codon, which is responsible for specific mRNA codon recognition, and the 3' end, to which the tRNAs corresponding amino acid is attached (by aminoacyl-tRNA synthetases). tRNAs cope with the degeneracy of the genetic code in two manners: having more than one tRNA (with a specific anti-codon) for a particular amino acid; and 'wobble' base-pairing, i.e. permitting non-standard base-pairing at the 3rd anti-codon position. The record is from Rfam by way of RNAcentral. Lineage: Bacteria; Bacillati; Bacillota; Clostridia; Eubacteriales; Eubacteriaceae.
GCAAGAUUAGUGUUAACGGUCAGCACAUCAGUUUUCCAAACUGAGGGUGGGAGUUCAAAUCUCCUAUCUUGCU